Long non-coding RNA from Aquila chrysaetos chrysaetos, 3474 nucleotides. RefSeq lists it as uncharacterized. Lineage: Eukaryota; Metazoa; Chordata; Aves; Accipitriformes; Accipitridae. The record is from RefSeq and is a predicted model, not a curated record. The transcript is spliced from 3 exons.
GUUUAGCUUUGCCAGUGCUCCCCAUGGCUUUUCACAGCUCAUCUUGAAUAUAUUUCUUGCUCUUCUGACAAGUUGCUAGCUUGGCAGGUUUGGAACAUAAAGCUUUAUGAAUGGUUACCAUUGCUGCAACUGAUUACCCUAAGAAUCACGUGAUAGACAAUAAAUGGAACCACAAGUGUGAAGAAAUUUUUCUACUUUUUUUUUUUUUUUUUGAUCCCUCUGGUAACUCACCUUGGUUCUUGAGUGUAUGCCAUUUGUCAGUAUGCCACAUAAUCAGCUAUUUUGGGCUUGCACUGGACCUGCCAUGACCAGGAACCUGCCCUGCCUGCUAAUUUUAAUGUGUAGGAGGAGUGGGUUGCAGGCCAGCAAAAGCUAUGUUUCCAGCUGCACAUUAGGUCAACAGGCUUGAUAGAGCAGUUGUCAACCCGCAAGAGCUCAGCCUGCACCUUCCACUUUGCCCGUCCUUAAUCCAGAGUUUGAGAGCACUGUUUCAAAACAGCAUGGCCAAGAUUUCAUCACGGGAAAAUCCAGUGUCUGGUCGCAACAUGAUCAACUAGCCUGAAAAGUUAUGAAGAAAGAUGUAUCUAGCCGAUUGCUCUCUUCUGUACUGGACCUGAAAUCAUGGUGUACCUUUUUGGUUACUAUCACUCUUCACAAAAGAGAAAUAAUGCCAUACAUGCUUUUACCAUCUAGUAAAAAACAACCCCCGGUCCCAAACAGCCUGUCUCUGUGAUAAGACUGAAUGAAAUCUAGACUUCAGGGGGGAGCAUUAAGAGUAAAGAGGUUUACUAAAUAUUUUGGCUUCAACUGAUUUGCAGGGCCACCCGUAAGUCACAGAAUAAUUACAUAACUGCUAUGAUUUAUUUAGAGUAAAAAAGAGAUGAGAAUGCCUUUAUCAAAAUUCAAAAUAAGUCAGUGUUUGUUUCUGAACCCUGACUAACAGUGACCAGGAUGACAAAAAUCAAGUGCCGUAAUUGUCUCUUCCUGUUUGAAAGCUAAACCUUAUUGUCUGCUAGACCAUUGUGGUGUGUCUUAAAAGUCAAUGUUUCUAGCCUCUUUCAGGCCAAAGCUGGAGUAAAUUUCUAAUCUGAUGGUGCCCAGAAAAACAGUAUUUCCCUCUCUUGUUUGACAGAGAUUCCAGUUUUAGUACCUCUCUAAUCAAAGCAACAAACUGACAGAAUCUCAGUUUGGCUGAUUUUAGGUUACUGAAAACUUCGGGUUAAGAUCUACAAUGCCCUUUAGAUUAUUUAAAUAUGUAAUUAAUAAUUUCAGAAAAAGCAGCUUAACCUAAAUUCCGCUUAAUGCUAAGAGCAUUUAGGUACCUGUGUUCUUUUCCUUUUGAAUAAUGGAGCUUAUGUUCCUGAAAGACGUUGUUUCUGAAAAAUAUCACCCUCAAUGCAUCUGUGCCAUGUCAGAUGAUUCAACUCACAAAGCAUAUCUUGGUUUUGAGGGUAGUAUGAAAGUCAGUGUUGUUUGGAAAUGUUUAAUUGAAUGGUGACAACCUAUAACUCCUCAUUUACUUUAUAAUGUGAUAGAAAAUAAAUUACGAAGAUGGGAGUUGAAAGGACCUUCUGGGUCACUGAGUUCAUCCCCAGUUCUGCAGAUGAAUAUACACGUCUGACAAGUCUACAGCUUUCAGUAAUCUAAAAAUAUAAAUGCAAACCCACAGUAAACAGAAUCUAAUAUAUGCACAGAGGUCUCUGUAACACUACUGUGUUCUGUCGUAAAUUUAACCUUGGUAUUCUGGUUGUGGCUAGCAAACAGACACUCUCUAAGAGAUCAAGAGACUGCUGGCUGCCACGCAUGUUAGCUUUUAGCUAAAGAGGUCAGUAACACCUCCUCGUUCUCGUCACCCUCUCCUGUAAGUGUGGAUAGUCACACAUUAAGUGUAGCUUUUCUGGUUGGGAUAUUAGGAGUCCCCGAAUGAUCUAGGGUACUACCCUCAUUUUACACCAGAGAGACAGAAGAAAGCAAGUGGAUCCACUGUCCUUGUAGCUCAUUGUUAUUCGUCAAGUAAGAGCAACAGCAUUAUUGUUUUCCCCAGCCCAGCAUUUAAAAGAUGAAGAAUGGCUCUGUUGCCCUCCUUGGGGACUCCAAGAAGAACAUUUUUAGUUGUGAAGAUCUGGCUCUGGAAAGAGGUGACACACUCUGAUCGUUCGUUAUCUGCGAUAUAAACCUACUUCUGCUUUCAGAGAGUCGAGAUAACAACUUUGAUGUAUACUACCUUAAGAAGAUCUGAAUCAAUUUAUAUGAAAAAACUGUUAAGCCAGUGUAUAAAGAAUACCACUGAAAUUAGAAAGUCCAGGAUUUUAAAUGCCUCAGUGUUAAGGAGAAUUAACAUUGAUUCAGAAUAUAAGCCCUAGUAAAUAUUUAACUCCUUUAUGAAGUGGGGAUAAAAUACAGACUAUUCCACUCUGCUAUAAAAAUCUUAUGCCAGAGCAUAAAAGCUGCUACAGGACUUGUGUCCUGAAUGGAGGACUGCUUUACUUCCAUCUGCAGUUCCUUAUUUUUGUCUCUCUGUUGUUCUGUGUUGUUUUCCCUCUGGAUUCCUGGCUGCUCUGGUAACUGGUGUUGGUGAAUAUGGAAUAAACUUGCUUUUGCCUAAGGUAUCAUUAAAAAAACCCAAACCCUACCUCAGCAGGGUUUCAGCUUAAAAAUAUUUCCCCUUGAAAGCUACCUUUGAUGAAUCAUUUUUUCCCACUUUUUUGCAAAUUUAAAGUGCAAGCAACAGAAUCGGUUUCAGUGCUGCCAUAAAUUUUAAUUUUUUUUAUUGCAAUUGCUAGUUUAAUUUCAUUGUGAGUGAGAAAUAAAGCAGUACUUCUUUCUCUGCUAUUGAAAAGGCUCGGUUUCAAAUUCACGAAAAUGACAUUGCAUAAAUACUCAAAAGACAUGUUACAGAAAUCUUCAAAUGAAGAGUAGUCUCUUCAAAGGAAAAAAAAAAGCUCUGAUCAAAAUUCUGAGAGUUAUAAAUAAGGACUCUGUAUACAAAGGAACUUUGUAUAUUCAGUAGAGUGUCAUAUGAUGGCAAAAGCACAUGAGGGUCACCCUGAGGAUUACAUCAUCCGGAAGAGAACACAACAUGCAUCUCUUACAUGAAAAGCAUGUCAGACAAACCCCAUGUAUUUGCAAAGCCUUAGCUUCUUGGUCUCCAAUGUCUCAUUAAAUCUAUAAGAGGUUAUUUUUACCCUCUUUAGAUUUAUCUUUCCUGGACAUGCAAUGGUAAUCCUUAUUUAACUGCAAAGCCUACCAUGAGGGAGAAUUAAUUUGUGUUGAGAGAGCUCUUCUUGUAAAAGAAUUUUAAUGUGAUAUGACAGGCAACUUCUUUCUUUUUGGGGGAGAAAGAAUGAGUUAUUUGUGUGAGCUUUACUAACUGCUUACACUGCAUUUAUUGACCCUUUUCUCUUACCCUUGUAUACAUGUGCAUUAGACAUCAAAGGUUUGAAAACAAUAAAAAAUAUCCCACGAUAAAGACCA